Molecule: non-coding RNA, 51 nt
Organism: Schistosoma haematobium
Lineage: Eukaryota; Metazoa; Platyhelminthes; Trematoda; Strigeidida; Schistosomatidae
Source: Rfam
AUCCAGCUGACGAGUAGUCCCGAAUAGGACGAAACGUGAGUCAAACUGGAU